Molecule: small RNA, 67 nt
Filed under: Flavobacterium saliperosum
Lineage: Bacteria; Pseudomonadati; Bacteroidota; Flavobacteriia; Flavobacteriales; Flavobacteriaceae
Description: Flavo-1 RNA
Rfam family: Flavo-1 RNA
Source: RNAcentral
GCCCAGACCUGAUGGAAGCGGCAUCCUCCCGCCCUGGCGGGAGAUAAAGCGCACAGCAGGAACUGCG